CCCUUAGAUGUUCUGGGCCGCACGCGUGCUACACUGAGUGGAUCAGCGGGUCAGGUUGCGCGAAAGCGUUUCCUAAUCUUUAAAUCCGCUCGUGAUGGGGAUUGACGGUUGCAAUUUUCUGUCAUGAACGAGGAAUACCUUGUAAGCGCGGGUCAUCAUCCCGCGCUGAAUACGUCCCUGCCCUUUGUACACACCGCCCGUCGCUCCUACCGAUUGAGUGGUCCGGUGAGGCUUUGGGAUCUGAGCGGAAAGAGCGUUUCGCUGUUUCUGCUCGGAAAACUCAGUCGAACCUUAUCAUUUAGAGGAAGGAAAAGUCGUAACA
Molecule: ribosomal RNA, 322 nt
Filed under: uncultured eukaryote
Lineage: Eukaryota
Description: partial 18S ribosomal RNA
Rfam family: Eukaryotic small subunit ribosomal RNA
Source: RNAcentral